Capsicum annuum is the source of this 503-nucleotide long non-coding RNA. RefSeq lists it as uncharacterized. The transcript is spliced from 2 exons. The record is from RefSeq and is a predicted model, not a curated record. NCBI's taxonomy places the organism in Eukaryota, Viridiplantae, Streptophyta, Magnoliopsida, Solanales, Solanaceae.
UACGUUUGACAUAACUUUAAUUUAAAGCCACAAGAUUCAGUAGCAUAAUUGCUCAUGCUCUCUAUUGGGGCCAGUCUGUCUGUCCUUCCUUCAAAACCGUGUGCUUGACUAGUAUUUGUUUCGUGCCAGCUCUCUAGUCUUACAAGUCCUGUGUAGCAUUACAAACAAACCAGCAAAUAUGCUAAUCUCCAAUCAAGAAUCAGAAAGAACAAAGCGGAAUCAGGGUAGAGGCUCCUGAAUCGAAGCACACUACCUGCUCAACUAAGCUAGACAUCAAGAAAACAAGCUAACACAAUCUCAUCUCCAGCUACAUCUUCCACGAAUGAAUUAGAGGCUGGGCUUUAAGAGGAGCUCGUAGAGUACAAAUGUAUGCUAGUUCCCUAGCAAUAGCUUCUGUAUUCCUUCCUCAAUUUUCAUGCAGCCUUUGAUUUCUCACAGUCCAUAAAACAUGACAAGUUUCUAUAAAAAUCAUUCGAAAUAAUUGAGCAGCUCGGAUUUUCCUU